UAGAGCCGUAUACGAGACCCGUACGUACGGUUCAAUGAGAGGGAAAUAACACUCGCUGUUAUUUCUCUACUCUAU
Molecule: non-coding RNA, 75 nt
Organism: Clostridiales bacterium
Lineage: Bacteria; Bacillati; Bacillota; Clostridia; Eubacteriales
Source: Rfam